AUGACUAUUGUGCUGCUAUAUGAAGCACCUGUUGGCAUUGCAAUUUUCUCUUUUGAUGGGGACUACCUCAAUGAUCUAGCAAAGUUUCUGAAGGAAUUCGUACGAAAUGAGACGGUGGCCUCCCUAGUUGACAUAGCUAAUAAUGCUAUUGACGAUCACCUGGCCAAGAGGCUCACCGACUUGUGUGGUUAUGAGAAGAAAUUAGUUGUAGGGUGUACUGAAUGUAAAGUAAUAAUUGAAAAGAACCUGCUUAGUAGUUAUUUGACACCGCUGAUUGCAUGUCACCACCUGCUGCAUGUGCAUGUUGACAUUCCGGAUUGUGAGAUGAGAAUUUACACUCAGAAGAAGCCCAUGCGUACUUUAUCGUCUAAAAGACUAUCAGAUCCUAAUGAAGAUUCAGUGAUAUUCUUAGAUCAUCAUGACAUUACUUGCAAGCUUGAGAUGGUCCACCGAGGUUGGUUGACACCCAUU
Molecule: ribosomal RNA, 471 nt
Filed under: Triticum aestivum (bread wheat)
Lineage: Eukaryota; Viridiplantae; Streptophyta; Magnoliopsida; Poales; Poaceae
Description: partial small subunit ribosomal RNA
Source: RNAcentral